RNAcentral lists this ribosomal RNA (679 nucleotides) under uncultured Pseudomonas sp. Its description in RNAcentral is "bacterial SSU rRNA". It matches the Rfam family "Bacterial small subunit ribosomal RNA", at positions 54 to 731 of the family's 1533-position model. Lineage: Bacteria; Pseudomonadati; Pseudomonadota; Gammaproteobacteria; Pseudomonadales; Pseudomonadaceae. The record is from RNAcentral.
CAUGCAAGUCGAGCGCGAAAGUUCUUCGGAAUGAGUAGAGCGGCGGACGGGUGAGUAACGCGUGGGAAAUUGCCCAGUAGUGGGGGACAACAUUCGGAAACGGAUGCUAAUACCGCAUACGCCCUACGGGGGAAAGCAGGGGAUCUUCGGACCUUGUGCUAUUGGAUAUGCCCGCGUCGGAUUAGCUAGUUGGUGAGGUAAUGGCUCACCAAGGCAACGAUCCGUAGCUGGUCUGAGAGGAUGAUCAGCCACACUGGGACUGAGACACGGCCCAGACUCCUACGGGAGGCAGCAGUGGGGAAUAUUGGACAAUGGGCGCAAGCCUGAUCCAGCCAUGCCGCGUGUGUGAAGAAGGCUCUAGGGUUGUAAAGCACUUUCAGUAGGGAGGAAGGCCUUAAAGUUAAUACCUUUGAGGAUUGACGUUACCUACAGAAGAAGCACCGGCUAACUCCGUGCCAGCAGCCGCGGUAAUACGGAGGGUGCGAGCGUUAAUCGGAAUUACUGGGCGUAAAGCGCGCGUAGGCGGUUAGUUAAGCUGGAUGUGAAAGCCCCGGGCUCAACCUGGGAACUGCAUUCAGAACUGGCUGGCUAGAGUACGAGAGAGGGUAGUGGAAUUUCCUGUGUAGCGGUGAAAUGCGUAGAUAUAGGAAGGAACAUCAGUGGCGAAGGCGACUGCCUG